This 261-nucleotide ribosomal RNA is filed under the name uncultured archaeon. RNAcentral's name for it is "partial 16S ribosomal RNA". It matches the Rfam family "Archaeal small subunit ribosomal RNA", at positions 748 to 1008 of the family's 1478-position model. The record is from RNAcentral.
CAGCCGUAAACUAUGCGCGUUAGGUGUAUCGGUGACCACGAGUUACCGAGGUGCCGAAGGGAAACCGUGAAACGUGCCGCCUGGGAAGUACGGUCGCAAGGCUGAAACUUAAAGGAAUUGGCGGGGGAGCACCACAACAGGUGGAGCCUGCGGUUUAAUUGGACUCAACGCCGGAAAUCUCACCGGAUAGGACAGACAUAUGAUAGUCGGGCUGAAGACUCUACUUGAUGAUCUGAGAGGUGGUGCAUGGCGUCAGUGACU